GACCACCCGUAACAGGAGACGCGGCUCCUGCGCGCCCCCCACUGGCCGGCGCCUGGGCGGUGCACAGGCAGGGGGCGGGGCCUGUGGCGUGGAGCUGCCUGGCGAGCACCGUUAGGGCAGCUUGGCGCGCGGCGCCCGCCCGGCGCCCAGUCCUCCGCCACCGCCCACGCCUUCCUGGUGCCAGCCAACAGGUAUCAGCGCGCCUCCCCAGCGGCUGAGAGAGACGCUGAGUGAAGAGGAGGGAAGGACGGUUAGUCAGAGCCGCAACUGCCAGAGCUGCUUGGAGAGCUGAGCUGGAAGGACGUGGGGUGCUUAGCCCUGCGUAGAAACGCCUGCCAAUGCGUUCCCAUUUGGACCCAGACUCCAUAUCGGGAGUAGUCUUAUAUAGCUGGAUCCCCUACGAAGACAAGUUCUAAAGCAAGAAGAGGAAAGCAUUUCAAUUUGGGACAUUUAUUCACAGCUGGAAAUGGGGAAUGGGCUGUCAGACCAGACUUCUAUCCUGUCCAGCCUGCCUUCAUUUCAGUCCUUCCACAUUGUUAUUCUCGGUUUGGACUGUGCUGGAAAAACAACUGUCUUAUACAGGCUGCAGUUCAAUGAAUUUGUAAAUACUGUACCUACCAAAGGAUUUAACACUGAGAAAAUAAAGGUAACCCUGGGAAAUUCUAAAACAGUCACUUUUCACUUCUGGGAUGUAGGUGGUCAGGAGAAAUUAAGGCCACUGUGGAAAUCAUAUACCAGAUGCACAGAUGGCAUUGUAUUUGUUGUGGACUCUGUUGAUGUUGAAAGGAUGGAAGAAGCCAAAACUGAACUUCACAAAAUAACUAGGAUAUCAGAAAAUCAAGGAGUCCCUGUACUUAUAGUUGCCAACAAACAAGACUUGAGGAACUCAUUGUCUCUUUCAGAAAUUGAGAAAUUGUUAGCAAUGGGUGAACUGAGCUCAUCAACUCCUUGGCAUUUGCAGCCUACCUGUGCAAUCAUAGGAGAUGGCCUAAAGGAAGGACUUGAGAAACUACAUGAUAUGAUAAUUAAAAGAAGAAAAAUGUUGCGACAACAGAAAAAGAAAAGAUGAAUAUCCAUACCUAUUAUAUCUGUGUGGAGUAGGUUUUCUCUGGUCUGAUUUUGACAAAUAGAAGAGUGUCUACAGCGUGGUUUGCCUGUCUGCCCUCCUGGAUGCUAUUAAAGCUUUGUUUUGUUGAACAAUCAGAUGCCCAACUCUGUUGCCUUGUGGAAGAUGAGUAAAUGCAGUGCUUCUUAAAGUGGUCUCUUCUCCCUACCCGACAAUUCUUUUGGUACUACCAUUUGGGGAAGCCAAGCAAGGAUAGUAAAUUGACCAGAACACAGUUGUGGAAAUUUGACCUGAAGUUAGUGAAAUAAAACUUUAAAGAGUG
This is an RNA transcript of Callithrix jacchus (white-tufted-ear marmoset), 1388 nucleotides long. It is a transcript of the gene named ARF like GTPase 4A, with no coding region annotated. Lineage: Eukaryota; Metazoa; Chordata; Mammalia; Primates; Cebidae. The record is from RefSeq and is a predicted model, not a curated record.